Molecule: ribosomal RNA, 253 nt
Filed under: uncultured bacterium
Lineage: Bacteria
Description: partial 16S ribosomal RNA
Rfam family: Bacterial small subunit ribosomal RNA
Source: RNAcentral
GACGAGGGGUCCUAGCGUUGUUCGGAAUCACUGGGCGUAAAGAGUUUGUAGGCGGCCCUGUAAGUCGGGUGUGAAAUCCCACGGCUCAACCGUGGAAGUGCAUUCGAAACUGCAGGGCUUGAAUAUGGAAGAGGGUAGUAGAAUUCCAGGUGUAGUGGUGAAAUACGUAGAUAUCUGGAGGAAUACCGGUGGCGAAGGCGGCUACCUGGUCCAAUAUUGACGCUGAGAAACGAAAGUGUGGGGAUCAAACAGG